UUAUCACUCAGUGGGAAACAAGGUGAGAUUUCUUAAACAGCUAGGAUGUUGGCUUAGAAGCAGCCAUUCAUUUAAAGAGUGCGUAACAGCUCACUGGUCAAGCGACUUUGCACCGAAAAUUUCAGGGGCUUAAACUUGUUACCGAAGCUGCGGAUUGUCCUCGUUUACGAGGAUAGUGGUAGGGGAGCGUUCUAUAGUAGGUUGAAGGAGAAUUGAAAAACUCUCUGGACAAAUUAGAAGUGAUCAUGCCGGCAUGAGUAGCGAUAAAACAAGUGAGAAGCUUGUUCGCCGUAAGCCUAAGGUUUCCUGUGGAAGGCAAGUCCACACAGGGUUAGUCGCGUCCUAAGUCGAGGCUGAAGAGCGUAGACGAUGGGCAACAGGUUAAUAUUCCUGUACCACCACCAGGCGAUUGAAUCUAGGAGAGACGCAAACAUUAGAAUCUACUAGCGGAUGGAAGUGCUAGGUCAAGCGGACGGAGGUUCCGGUUAAUCCCGGAAAUUACCUCUGAAAGUGAUGAGGUGUCCUUAAGGACUGAACUGGUUCGGUUGUUUGCCAAGAAAAGAACUCCGAGAGGACAAAUGGUGGUGUGCGUACCGCAAACCGACACAGGUAGGCAAGGAGAAUAUCCUAAGGCGCUCGAGAGAACUCUCGCUAAGGAACUCGGCAAAAUGGCUCCGUAACUUCGGGAGAAGGAGCGCUUGAGUUGGCUGGUUCGCCAGUCUAGCGAAAGCCGCAGUGAAAAGGCCCAUACGACUGUUUACUAAAAACACAGGUCUGUGCUAAAUCGUAAGAUGAUGUAUACGGACUGACGCCUGCCCGGUGCUGAAAAGUUAAGGAGAGGGGUUAGAGCUUAGGCUCGAAGCUCUGAACCGAAGCUUCAGUAAACGGCGGCGGUAACUAUAACCGUCCUAAGGUAGCGAAAUUCCUCGUCGGGUAAAAUCCGACCUGCACGAAUGGCGUAACGAUAUGGGCACUGUCUCAGCGAGAGACUCGGUGAAAUUGUAUUAUCGGUGAAGAUGCCGAUUACCCGUAAAAAGACGGAAAGACCCCGUGAACCUUUACUAUAGCUUGAUAUUGAAUUUGGAUUUAGCUUGUGUAGGAUAGGUGGGAGACUUUGAAGCUGGAGCGCUAGCCCCAGUGGAGUCGCCCUUGAAAUACCACUCUUGUUGUAUCUAAAUCCUAACUCUGGUUUGUAUAUCCAAGCCGAGGACAGUGUCAGGUGGGUAGUUUGACUGGGGCGGUCGCCUCCUAAAGCGUAACGGAGG
RNAcentral lists this ribosomal RNA (1265 nucleotides) under marine metagenome. Its description in RNAcentral is "bacterial LSU rRNA". It matches the Rfam family "Bacterial large subunit ribosomal RNA", at positions 1049 to 2306 of the family's 2925-position model. The record is from RNAcentral.